Molecule: ribosomal RNA, 455 nt
Filed under: Erinaceusyllis hartmannschroederae
Lineage: Eukaryota; Metazoa; Annelida; Polychaeta; Phyllodocida; Syllidae
Description: partial 16S ribosomal RNA
Rfam family: Bacterial large subunit ribosomal RNA
Source: RNAcentral
UCGCCUGUUUAUCAAAAACAUUACACCAUGUCCUCUUAUGUGGUGCACGACUGCCCAGUGAAUUUUCAACGGCCGAGGUACCCACCCCUCGUUAAAGUAGCGCAAUCCUGCGCCCCUUAAUUAGGGGAUAGAAUGAAAGAUCUCACAAAGGAUAAACUGUCUCCUCCCUAUUUAUAAAAAUUUAUUUCAGGGUGAAAAAGCCCUUAUCAACCAUUUAGACAAACAGUCCCUGGAAGCUCCCAGGAUUACUUUCAUUUUUAAACCCUAAUCCUGUUGGCUGGGAUGGCCCAAAUCUACCCGAUUUUAUUUUUAAGAAGUAAUCAUUCAAUUCUAUUAAACUCCCCAAACUUAAUAAGCUACUCCAGGGAUAACAGGCUAAUAGUUUUAUCGAGCUCCCAUCCACAAAACUGUUUGGCACCUCGAUGUUGGCUUAGGGAUCCUAUUUAUCGCAAAAG